GAACAAUAAGGAGAAUGUGGCUGCAACACGUUCACCUGCGUCUGAUACGCGCACGAGGGCACGCAGCAACGCGAGCGACAUUCAUCCAGUGAAUGUGGCUGCAACACGUUCACCUUCGUCUGAUACUCGCACGAGGGCACGCAGCAACGCAACUGGGAACAAAAAAGAGUACGU
Tachysurus vachellii is the source of this 174-nucleotide long non-coding RNA. RefSeq lists it as uncharacterized. The record is from RefSeq and is a predicted model, not a curated record. The transcript has 3 exons. NCBI's taxonomy places the organism in Eukaryota, Metazoa, Chordata, Actinopteri, Siluriformes, Bagridae.